Molecule: ribosomal RNA, 404 nt
Filed under: Fusobacteriota bacterium
Lineage: Bacteria; Fusobacteriati; Fusobacteriota
Description: Fusobacteria bacterium partial 16S ribosomal RNA
Rfam family: Bacterial small subunit ribosomal RNA
Source: RNAcentral
UGGGGAAUAUUGCACAAUGGAGGAAACUCUGAUGCAGCGACGCCGCGUGAGUGAAGAAGUAUUUCGGUAUGUAAAGCUCUAUCAGCAGGGAAGAAAAUGACGGUACCUGACUAAGAAGCACCGGCUAAAUACGUGCCAGCAGCCGCGGUAAUACGUAUGGUGCAAGCGUUAUCCGGAUUUACUAGGUGUAAAGGGGGCGUAGGUGGCAAGGCAAGCCAGAAGUGAAAACCCGGGGCUCAACCGCGGGAUUGCUUUUGGAACUGUCAUGCUAGAGUGCAGGAGGGGUGAGCGGAAUUCCUAGUGUAGCGGUGAAAUGCGUAGAUAUUAGGAGGAACACCGGAGGCGAAGGCGGCUCACUGGACUGUAACUGACACUGAGGCUCGAAAGCGUGGGGAGCAAACAGG